Long non-coding RNA from Pan troglodytes (chimpanzee), 2530 nucleotides. RefSeq lists it as uncharacterized. Lineage: Eukaryota; Metazoa; Chordata; Mammalia; Primates; Hominidae. The transcript has 3 exons. The record is from RefSeq and is a predicted model, not a curated record.
GUGACUCUGCUGGCCUGCAACAGUGUGUAGAAGGAUUUAAGCAAAAUGAAACAGACAGAAAUAUUGAUCCAGACAACUGGAAUUUUCAAGUGUAUUGCAAUGAUAAUGCCGACUGGAAAGGAAAGAGAAGAAGGUAACAAAGAAAAGCCAAGAAAACUAUUUGGAGUGAGAGACUAUGGUAAUAUAAAAGGCUAUAUAUAAUGUGGUAAAAUCGUGGGGACUUAAUUCCAUCAUAUGGAGGGUUACUGAAUGUAUCAGAGACAGCCUGCAGUUCAUCACCACACAAAUUAGGAGCAACGUAAGAAGAGAAAAAGAAAAAGGAAUUACAGAUUAAAAAAUGCAAGAGAAUAUAAACAAAAACAUGUUCAACUGGAAUUUGUAUUGGGAUUGUAUUAAAUGGAUGAACUAAUUUGUGAGGAAAUGAUAUCAUUCCAUCCAAGAGCAUGGAACUCCUAUUUUUCCUAUUGUCUUCUAUGUUUCUUUUUAAAAAGUUUUAAGUUUUCUCUGUAGAGUUUUUUGCAUUCUGGAUGAUUUUAAUUGAAACAUACUGUAUAGAUAUUGUUACUAUUAUAAGUGGUGCCUCUUAUUAGAUUUUGUAAUUCAUUAUGAUUGGUAAAGCAAAUAGGAUAGAUUUUGAACCUAGAAAACUGCCUCAAUUACCUCAUUACUUCAAAAAGUGUUGCCAUUGGUUCUAUUGCUUUUUUUAAAAAAAACAUGAUAAUAUCUUCUGCACAUUAUGAAAUUUUAUCUCAACACUUUCAAUCACUGCAUCUCUGUUUGACACCGAUGAACACUUCCAAAGUGAAAUAUUUUGCUCUCUUUAUUUUUCUCCUUUUGCUUUUUGGGGCCUCUUUACUUUCUAAACUUGUCACUUCUUGGUUUAUCUUCCAUACCUCUUGGCUUUUCUUUUGUGUAGUAUACUUUAGCUUCAUUCUGGGAGAGUUUUUCAUUCUGAACUUUUCGAUUUACUAGUUUAUUCUCCAUCAGUAUGUUUGCUAAUUUUUCUUCCAUUGACUGCUUUUCCCAAAUACUUAUUUUUCAUACUUUAUAUUUUCACUUGGAAUUUGGGGGGAAUAUUUUGUUCUAGUUUCAAAUUGAUCCUAUAUUUUUUGUCUCCUUAAGUAUAUUUAUCAGGCUUAUUUUAAAUUCUUGAUUUAUGUGUUAUAAUAAUGCUACCUUAGAUGGCAUAUGCUGCUCAAUUUUUCUUUCCCUUUUCCACUCUAGUAGUGGUAGUCCUCUGGCUUCUGGUUAUUUUUGUCUCUAGAGUUAUGUUAUGUUAUUAUAACAGAUGUGAGAAAGGGCCCAAAACCAGGUUUUAGCCUGUGUCUGCUCUAAUGAGUUAAUGUGAUUACUAUGGAUGAUCUUCAGAGUAGAAUACAAUAAGCAAUUGUUGUUUAUUACAAGUUUCGAGUUUAUAACUGUGAAAUCUACUGUGCUUCCUAAUUUAGCACCUUUAACAAUCUAUGAUCUAGGCUAUUGCUUCCAACUUUUAAAGUUUAAGGGAAGACACUGAUUGUCCCAAGGAAAUGUGGUCAGAGGAAAUAACAGAGGUAAUACUCAAAAUAAGAAAUACUCGAAAUAAGUUAAUGUGAAAAACAAUAGUAUAGAAGCAGCUCAAGAAGGAAAUGAUGAGUUGCAAGAUCAGAUUGAAGAACUGUUCCAGAAGGCAGCAAGAAACAAUAAUGUAAAAUUUUAAAAAUUAAUAAUAAUAACAAAAAACUAAAAGACAUGGAGGAUAGAAAUAGAUAUAUAUGGUGUGUUGUAUGAGAUGAGUCAGUUAGCUUAUGAGCAAGCAACCCAACCAUAUCUAAACAUAUAUCUGAGUAUGCUUUAACUCAUGUACUUACAAAAUUGCAUUUCUUAGUGAAAAAAAAAUCAAGAAAGAAAAGAAUUCCUAAGGUUAGUGAUGAAAGUAUAAAGUCAAGAGAUAAACUAGUGAUUUUCAAAAAAAAAAAAAAAGUAACUUUAGAGUGGCAAAUCAAAUGUCACUCUGUUCAUACAAGAUUCAUGAAACUGUUUCAGAGAGGGUUUUGUUCCUUGCAAAAGUUGUUCACCCACAAGAGACAGAUUUUGUAAAAUUUAAAAUGUAGCUAAUUUUCCAUGUGAUUAGGCAGUGUAAUUUAAAGAAACUCAAGAUUUUCUACAAAUAAUUUUUUGAGGCAAGAAGAUGCUAAAGUCACUUGUACUGCCACUAAACUUUACUAAAAGUUGGUUUGAACACUUUAAUUGCUUUUGAAUAGAUGAUUGAAGCUGUGAAGAGGUGGCAGCAGCUGACAUGUUGCCAUGGUAGCAUUUCCUCCCCAGCUGAGGAGGCUAUACAGAAGAAAGGAUAUAGGUCAGAAAGUGUUUAUACUGACAAAACAACCGCAUAUUAAAAUCAAAUGCUUUUGUAAACAUCAUAAGCCAAAUGAGAGUUGUGAAAUCUAGUUUCAGGCUAUUAAAGACAGACUGAUUUAUCUUUAGGAUGAUGUAUCAAGCUGUACGGUGAGAAUGGAGCAUUCAAGGUCAAGAAUACUCUCCUUCCUGCAUA